UACGUAGGGGGCGAGCGUUGCCCGGAAUCACUGGGCGUAAAGGGGGUGUAGGCGGUUAUCUAAGUCAGAUGUAAAAUACCUUGGCUCAACCAAGGGAUUGCGUCUGAAACUGGAUAACUUGAGGUUACUAGAGGGAGACGGAAUUACCUGUGUAGCGGUGAAAUGCGUAGAUACAGGUAAGAAGGCCGGUGGUGAAGACGGUCUCCUAGGGUAAACCUGACGCUGAGGCCCGAAAGCUAGGGGAGCAAACCGG
RNAcentral lists this ribosomal RNA (253 nucleotides) under uncultured microorganism. RNAcentral describes it as "partial 16S ribosomal RNA". It matches the Rfam family "Bacterial small subunit ribosomal RNA", at positions 524 to 776 of the family's 1533-position model. The record is from RNAcentral.